ACUCUCGGUGGCACGCGCCUGUAGUCCCAGCUACUUGGGAGGCUGAGACAGGAGGACCACUUGAGUCCAGGAGUUCAGGGAUGUAGUGCACUAUAUCGAUUGGGUGUCCNCACUAAGUUCAGCAUCAUUAUGGUGACCUCCCAGAAGCAGGGGACCACUAGGAUACCUAAGGACAGGUGAACCAGCCCAGGUUGGAAACGGAGCAGGUCAAAACUCCCAUGCUGAUCAGUAGUGGGAUCGCGCUNGUGAAUAGCCACUGCNCUCCAGUCUGGGCAACAUAGUGAGACACUGUCUUUA
Molecule: signal recognition particle RNA, 297 nt
Filed under: Neotoma lepida (desert woodrat)
Lineage: Eukaryota; Metazoa; Chordata; Mammalia; Rodentia; Cricetidae
Description: Metazoan signal recognition particle RNA
Rfam family: Metazoan signal recognition particle RNA
About the family: The signal recognition particle (SRP) is a universally conserved ribonucleoprotein.
Source: Rfam by way of RNAcentral